This is a long non-coding RNA of Orcinus orca (killer whale), 3392 nucleotides long. RefSeq lists it as uncharacterized. The transcript is spliced from 2 exons. The record is from RefSeq and is a predicted model, not a curated record. NCBI's taxonomy places the organism in Eukaryota, Metazoa, Chordata, Mammalia, Artiodactyla, Delphinidae.
CCUGAAGGCCCACAGUCCUGCCCUUAACUAAGAUGGUGCCCCUCCGGCCUCAACAUCCCUCGCCUUUCUUAUCUGCCCUUCCAUGCCAAGGGGCAAAUCGGAAGGGAGGUUGGACUCCACGGCGUAACCGUAGAGAGAUAGCGUGCGUUGAUUGGACAGCGCCGGUCGCUAGGGGAAGAAGGAAGGCUCUGAUUGGUCUUUCCGGAGCGGUCUGUUUGAAAGGCCGAGAGUGAAGUAGCGGCAGAUCCGAAGGUGGCUGGCGGUGCAGGAUUUCUCUUGAUCUGGCUUUUCUGGGUCGGCAUCUAAGAGAGAGGUUCCAACGGAGUAAAGGUACUCAUUUCUGCUACUCUCAUGAGACCUCUUAUGGGCAGGUCCGGGGCUUGGAGGUGAGUAAAAGCCCAAGGGCAAGACUGAGGCGGGUUCUGGAGGUAAGGGAGUGAGCUCUGGUACUCGGGCAGGGCUAGCCCGUGGGCUGUGGAAAUGCGUUCCUACCCAGUAUUUGAUCUGGCCCGUGCUCCAAGGUCACAGAUGUCUCCCCUUUUACAGACAAUGAAACUGAGUGACGGGGCAGGUGACAGCUCACGGGGCAGCAGAGCCGGAUUCAGAGUCAUCUGGCUCCCGUUUCGGUUGAACUUAGGUUCAAUUAAGUGCUUAGGGUAGCGCCUUGCACAAAGUACUCAAUAAAUAGGAGCUUAUAGUUGUUACUGUAAUUAUAACACUAUCUAGACCCUGCCUCAAUCAGAAAACCUGUGUCAAAUUACAGCUCAUAAAUGAAUAGUAACACUGAGGAAUGAGUCAGAUCAUCUCUUAAGAUUUAUUUCAAUUCUGGAUCAAGGUGGUGGAGUGGGAAGGUCCUGAGCUCACCUCCUUCCAGGACACACCAAAACUACAACUACAUAUAGAACAACUAUCUCUGAGAACUGACCUGAAGACUAGCACAACAGAUUUUCUACAACUAAGGAUAUAAGGAAAAGGCCACAUCGAGAAAGCUGGCCUGGUGCUGGUGAGCACUAUUUCUAUCACUCUCCAUCAGCCUAGCUAACACCACGCGCCCUGCCCCUGCUUUCCCCUGAGGACCCAGGGGACCAACCUCACCCACCAGCACACCUGCAACAUUUGCUGCCCAACCGCAACAGGAGGGCACAUGCAGCCCACACAGGGGAUACCCCUGGAGCACCUGGCUCUGUUGAUCGGGGGAGAUUGCACCACUGAGCCCACAGGACACCUCCUAUGUAAGGCCACUCUUUCAAGACUGGGAGAUGAAGCUGAUUUACAUAGAAAUGAACACAGAGGGUUAGGCAAAAUGAAGAAACUACAGAAUAUCUUCAAAGGGAAGAACAAGACAAAACCUCAGAAAAAGAACUAAACAAAGUGGAGACAAGCAGUUUAUCAGAUAAAGAAUUCAAAGUAACUGUCAUAAAAAUGCGCAUCGAACUCAGGAGAAAAGUGGAUGAAUCCGGAGAGGUAAUCUGUGAGGAAAUCAUCAAAGGGCUAGAAGAUCUGAAAAACGAAGAUUUAAAACUUUUGAAUUUAUUAACUGAAAUGAAAAAUACACUCGUGGAAAGCAGCAGGAAAUCAGAGAAUGCAAAAAAACCAAAACAGACCAGUGAUCUGGAAGACAAAUGGAAGUUGCCCAAUCAGAACAGCAAAAAGGGGGACUUCGCUGGUUAAGACUCUGUGCUCCCAAUGUAGGGGGCCCAGGUUCAAUCCCUGGUCAGGGAGCUAGAUCCUGCAUGCUGCAACUAAGACCCGGAGCAGCCAAAUAAAUAAAUAAAUAUUAAAAAAAAAAAAAGGAAUCCCCAAAAAACAAGAAUAGGGUCCCCACCGCGGGUCCCAGCAGCUCCAGUGUGGGGGAGAGUGGCAGCAGCCAGACAGCCCAGCUUCGAGAAGGCUCUUGGCAGUCUGGCUGGCACACCAGGGAAGUCCCUAUUUACUCUCUUUUAGAUCCUUUUCCCAUAUAGGCCAUUACAGAGUAUUGAGUAGAGUUCCCUGUGCUAUACAGUAGGUCCUUAUUAGUUACCUAUUUUAUAUAUAAUAGUAUGUAUAUGUCCAUCCCAAUCUCCCAAUUUAUCCCUCCCCCCCAAUCCCCCUGGUAACCAUAAGUUUGUUUUCUACAUCUGUGACUCUAUUUCUGUUUUGUAAAUAAGUUCAUUUGUACCAUUUUUUUAGAUUCCAUAUAUAAGCGCUAUCAUAUGAUAUUUGUGUUUCUCUGUCUGAUUUACUUCACUCAGUAUGACAGUCUGUAGGUCCAUCCAUGUUGCUGCUGUAAAUGCUUUUUUUUAAGAGGUGAAGUCAUUUGCUGGUUGUUUAUUUUUUGGUACAAUCAGAAAGUAGUGGGAUAUUGAAUAUGGGAGGUUCUGAUUGUCUUGGGUGUCAGCUUAACAUUCCAUAGAUGGGGUAGCUUUUCUAUCCUAUAAUACAAAGCAUACUAAAUGGCAAUUGGAGUCAAUUGUACAUUUAAUGUCUUGAACACUUUUUAUAUAUUUAUUUUAUUUAUUUUCCUUUUUUUUUUUAUUGGCUGCGUUGGGUCUUAGUUGUGGCACACAGGAUCUUUGUUGAGGCAUGCAGGAUCUUUCUCAUUACAGCGUGCGGUCUACUUGGGCUUCUCUCUAGUUGUGGCAUGUGGGUUUUCUCUCUCUAGUUGUGGAGGAUGGGCUCCAGGGCACGUGGGCCCUGUAGUUUGCGGCACGCAAGCUCUCUAGUUGAGGCGCAAGAGCUCAGUAGUUGUGGCAUGCGGGCUUAUUUGCCCCAUGGCAUAUGGGAUCUUAGUUCCCCAACCAGGGAUCGAACCCGCAUCCCCUGCGUUAGAAGGCGGAUUAUUUACCACUGGACAACCAGAGAGGUCCCUUGAACACUUUAAAUUACUUCUCUUCCCUUGUUGUUUUUGGUAGAAUUGUUUCCUAAAGCAAACCACUCCUUGAUCUUGGCUCUCCUGGUCAGAAUUUUGUGCACUCUGUAACGUCGUUGGUCCCGGUAGUCCAGUUUUCCUAAUAACUUUGUUAAUGUGCUGUGAAUGAUUGAAAACUUGAGUAUGUAGUGUAUACGAUAUUAAAUUGUGAAUUUAGUGGGACUUAGGAUGUAACAGCAUAUCAACAUUUGAAGAUAUGGGUACUUGAUAUCCUGUUAAGGGAAUUUGCCUCCAAAUUUUAAGCUGGAAAGGCACUGGAAUAACUGUUCAGAAAAGAAUCAUGGGGGACUUCCCUGGUGGUCCAGUGGGUAAGACUGCGCUCCCAAUGCAGGGGGCCUGGGUUCGAUUCCUGGUGGGGGAACUAGAUCCUGCAUACAUGCUGCAACUAAGAAGUCCUCAUGCCACAACUAAGAGUCCACAUGCCUCAACUAAGCCCUGGCGCAGCCUAAGUAAAUUAAUUAAUAAAUUUAAAAAAAGAAAAGAA